CCUACGGGUGGCAGCAGUGGGGAAUAUUGCGCAAUGGGCGAAAGCCUGACGCAGCGACGCCGCGUGAGGGAUGAAGGUCUUCGGAGCGGAAACCUCUGUCAGCAGGGAAGAACGGUCACGGUGCUAAGCAGCAGUGAAUGGACGGUACCUGCAAAGGAAGCACCGGCUAACUCCGGGCCAGCAGCCGCGGUAAUACGGAGGGUGCGAGCGUUAAUCGGAAUUACUGGGCGUAAAGCGCGCGUAGGCGGUAUGUCAAGUCAAGGGUGAAAUCCCCGCGCGCACCGUGGGAACUGCCUUUGAAACUGGCAACCUGGAGUGUGUGCGCGGCUAGUGGCCUUCCAGGUGU
This 346-nucleotide ribosomal RNA is filed under the name uncultured bacterium. Its description in RNAcentral is "partial 16S ribosomal RNA". It matches the Rfam family "Bacterial small subunit ribosomal RNA", at positions 338 to 676 of the family's 1533-position model. The record is from RNAcentral.